UACGGAGGAUGCGAGCGUUAUCCGGAUUUAUUGGGUUUAAAGGGUGCGUAGGCGGCUUAGUAAGUCAGCGGUGAAAUUUUGCAGCUUAACUGUAACAGUGCCGUUGAUACUGCCAGGCUAGGAUUUGGUUGCUGUGGGUGGAAUGUGUGGUGUAGCGGUGAAAUGCUUAGAUAUCACACAGAAUAUCAAUUGCGAAGGCAGUCUUCCAAGCCGUUAUUGACGCUCAACUGCGAAGGUGUGGGUAUCAAACAGGAUUA
This 257-nucleotide ribosomal RNA is filed under the name uncultured prokaryote. RNAcentral's name for it is "partial 16S ribosomal RNA". It matches the Rfam family "Bacterial small subunit ribosomal RNA", at positions 524 to 780 of the family's 1533-position model. The record is from RNAcentral.